UGGGGAAUCUUGCGCAAUGGACGAAAGUCUGACGCAGCCACGCCGCGUGAGUGAAGAAGGCCUUCGGGUUGUAAAGCUCUGUCGGGAGGGACGAACAUCCAUUGGGUUAACAGCCCAGUGGACUGACGGUACCUUCAAAGGAAGCACCGGCUAACUCUGUGCCAGCAGCCGCGGUAAUACAGAGGGUGCAAGCGUUGCUCGGAAUCAUUGGGCGUAAAGGGUAGGUAGGUGGUCUCGUUUGUCUGGGGUGAAAGCCCAGGGCUUAACCCUGGAAGUGCCCCGGAAACGGCGAGACUGGAGUACUGGAGAGGGUCGUGGAAUUCCCGGUGUAGCGGUGAAAUGCGUAGAGAUCGGGAGGAACACCAGAGGCGAAGGCGGCGACCUGGACAGUUACUGACACUCAACUACGAAAGCGUGGGGAGCAAACAGGAUUAGAUACCCCCGUAGUCC
RNAcentral lists this ribosomal RNA (450 nucleotides) under uncultured bacterium. RNAcentral's name for it is "bacterial SSU rRNA". It matches the Rfam family "Bacterial small subunit ribosomal RNA", at positions 355 to 796 of the family's 1533-position model. The record is from RNAcentral.